Molecule: ribosomal RNA, 365 nt
Filed under: Leopardus wiedii (margay)
Lineage: Eukaryota; Metazoa; Chordata; Mammalia; Carnivora; Felidae
Description: partial large subunit ribosomal RNA
Rfam family: Bacterial large subunit ribosomal RNA
Source: RNAcentral
GUAUGAUGGGCACACGAGGGCUUUACUGUCUCUUACUUCCAAUCCGUGAAAUUGACCUUCCCGUGAAGAGGCGGGAAUAUAACAAUAAGACGAGAAGACCCUAUGGAGCUUUAAUUAACCGACCCAAAGAGACCCCACUAAUUAACCGACAGGAACAACAAACCUCUACAUGGGCCGACAAUUUAGGUUGGGGUGACCUCGGAGAAUAAAACAACCUCCGAGUGAUUUAAAUCUAGACUAACCAGUCGAAAGUAUUACAUCACUUAUUGAUCCAAAAACUUGAUCAACGGAACAAGUUACCCUAGGGAUAACAGCGCAAUCCUAUUCUAGAGUCCAUAUCGACAAUAGGGUUUACGACCUCGAUG